This 467-nucleotide ribosomal RNA is filed under the name Sicydium salvini. Its description in RNAcentral is "partial 12S ribosomal RNA". It matches the Rfam family "Bacterial small subunit ribosomal RNA", at positions 868 to 1527 of the family's 1533-position model. Lineage: Eukaryota; Metazoa; Chordata; Actinopteri; Gobiiformes; Gobiidae. The record is from RNAcentral.
CUUGCCAGGGAACUACGAGCCCCAGCUUAAAACCCAAAGGACUUGGCGGUGCUUUAGACCCCCCUAGAGGAGCCUGUUCUAGAACCGAUAACCCCCGUUCAACCUCACCCUCUCUUGUUUAACCCGCCUAUAUACCGCCGUCGUCAGCUUACCCUAUGAAGGAUGCACAGUAAGCAGAAUUGGUACAACCCAAAACGCCAGGUCGAGGUGUAGCGUACGAGAGGGGAAGAAAUGGGCUACAUUCACUGAACCAGUGAACAACGGACGAUGCCUUGAAAUAAGCAUCUAAAGGAGGAUUUAGCAGUAAGAGGAGAAACAGAGAGUCCCUCUGAAACUGGCCCUGAAGCGCGCACACACCGCCCGUCACUCUCCCCAAAACAAACAUAAGCAUAAAUAAGAAGAAAUAAAAAUAAAGGGGAGGCAAGUCGUAACAUGGUAAGUGUACCGGAAGGUGCACUUGGAAAAAC